GUUCGCUUCGGCAGCACAUAUACUGAAAUUGGAACAAUACAGAGAUCAGCAUGGCCCCUGAGCAAGGAUAUCUCGCAAAUUCAUGAAGCAUUCCAUAUUUAA
Molecule: small nuclear RNA, 102 nt
Organism: Eptesicus fuscus (big brown bat)
Lineage: Eukaryota; Metazoa; Chordata; Mammalia; Chiroptera; Vespertilionidae
Source: RefSeq, a predicted model, not a curated record